CGGGGGCCCGCACAAGCGGUGGAGCAUGUGGUUUAAUUCGAAGCAACGCGAAGAACCUUACCAGGUCUUGACAUCCUCUGACAAUCCUAGAGAUAGGACGUCCCCUUCGGGGGCAGAGUGACAGGUGGUGCAUGGUUGUCGUCAGCUCGUGUCGUGAGAUGUUGGGUUAAGUCCCGCAACGAGCGCAACCCUUGAUCUUAGUUGCCAGCAUUCAGUUGGGCACUCUAAGGUGACUGCCGGUGACAAANCCGGAGGAAGGUGGGGAUGACGUCAAAUCAUCAUGCCCCUUAUGACCUGGGCUACACACGUGCUACAAUGGACAGAACAAAGGGCAGCGAAACCGCGAGGUUAAGCCAAUCCCACAAAUCUGUUCUCAGUUCGGAUCGCAGUCUGCAACUCGACUGCGUGAAG
RNAcentral lists this ribosomal RNA (411 nucleotides) under Bacillus sp. RBR-51. Its description in RNAcentral is "bacterial SSU rRNA". It matches the Rfam family "Bacterial small subunit ribosomal RNA", at positions 914 to 1325 of the family's 1533-position model. The record is from RNAcentral. Lineage: Bacteria; Bacillati; Bacillota; Bacilli; Caryophanales; Bacillaceae.